This 441-nucleotide ribosomal RNA is filed under the name uncultured bacterium. Its description in RNAcentral is "partial 16S ribosomal RNA". It matches the Rfam family "Bacterial small subunit ribosomal RNA", at positions 338 to 795 of the family's 1533-position model. The record is from RNAcentral.
CCUACGGGAGACAGCAGUGGGGAAUAUUGCACAAUGGGGGAAACCCUGAUGCAGCAACGCCGCGUGAAGGAAGACGGUUGUCGGAUUGUAAACUUCUGUUCUUAGUGAAGAAUAAUGACGGUAGCUAAGGAGCAAGCCACGGCUAACUACGUGCCAGCAGCCGCGGUAAUACGUAGGUGGCAAGCGUUGUCCGGAAUUACUGGGUGUAAAGGGAGCGCAGGCGGGAAGCCAAGUCAGCUGUGAAAACUACGGGCUUAACUUGUAGACUGCAGUUGAAACUGGUUUUCUUGAGUGAGGUAGAGGUUGGCGGAAUUCCGGGUGUAGCAGUGAAAUGCGUAGAUAUUCGGAGGAACACCGGUGGCGAAGGCGGCCAACUGGACUUUAACUGACGCUGAGGCUCGAAAGUGUGGGGAGCGAACGGGAUUAGAUACCCUUGUAGUC